Laetiporus sulphureus 93-53 is the source of this 93-nucleotide transfer RNA. It matches the Rfam family "tRNA". From Rfam's summary of the family: Transfer RNA (tRNA) molecules are approximately 80 nucleotides in length. Their secondary structure includes four short double-helical elements and three loops (D, anti-codon, and T loops). The record is from Rfam. NCBI's taxonomy places the organism in Eukaryota, Fungi, Basidiomycota, Agaricomycetes, Polyporales, Laetiporaceae.
GGCACUAUAGCCAAGUGGUUACGGCGACAGAUUCGAAUGAAUUCGGUUAUCUGUUUCCCUUUGGGAGCCUGGGUUCAAAUCCCAGUGGUGUCG